AGAGGAAGUAAAAGUCGUAACAAGGUUUCCGUAGGUGAACCUGCGGAAGGAUCAUUAUCGAGUUUUUGAACGGGUUGUCGCUGGCCUUUCACGAGGCAUUGUGCACGCCUGGCUCAUCCACUCUUCAACCUCUGUGCACUUACUGUAGGAAACGGUUGAUGGGCUGACUUUCAUUGGUCGGUUUUGAAGCCUUUCUUAUGUUUUACUACAAACGCUUCAGUUAUAGAAUGUUUUCAUGUGUAUAACACAAUAUAUACAACUUUCAGCAACGGAUCUCUUGGCUCUCGCAUCGAUGAAGAACGCAGCGAAAUGCGAUAAGUAAUGUGAAUUGCAGAAUUCAGUGAAUCAUCGAAUCUUUGAACGCACCUUGCGCUCCUUGGUAUUCCAUGGAGCAUGCCUGUUUGAGUGUCAUGGUAUUCUCAAUCCCUAGAUUUUGUUAUGAAGUCUAGCGGACUUGGACUUGGAGGUUGUGUCGGCGGCUCUAGUCAGUCGACUCCUCUUAAAUGUAUUAGCGUGAAUGUUACGGAUCGCCUUCAGUGUGAUAAUUAUCUGCGCUGUGGUGUUUGAAGUAUUUUGUAUUCGUGCUUACAAUCGUCUCCUAGAGACAAUUUACUUGACAAUCUGACCUCAAAUCAGGUAGGACUACCCGCUGAACUUAAGCAUAUCAAUAA
Molecule: ribosomal RNA, 671 nt
Filed under: Phanerochaetella exilis
Lineage: Eukaryota; Fungi; Basidiomycota; Agaricomycetes; Polyporales; Irpicaceae
Description: eukaryotic LSU rRNA
Rfam family: 5.8S ribosomal RNA (bases 258-411)
Source: RNAcentral